Molecule: ribosomal RNA, 502 nt
Filed under: uncultured bacterium
Lineage: Bacteria
Description: partial 16S ribosomal RNA
Rfam family: Bacterial small subunit ribosomal RNA
Source: RNAcentral
GACGAACGCUGGCGGCGUGCUUAACACAUGCAAGUCGAACGGUGAAGGGGUCUGCUUUUGUGGGCCCUGGAUGAGUGGCGAACGGGUGAGUAACACGUGAGUAACCUGCCCCCUUCUUCUGGAUAACCGCAUGAAAGUGUGGCUAAUACGGGAUAUUCUGGGUCUGUCGCAUGAUGGGUCUGGGAAAGAUUGCGCCUUUGGGUGUUUUUGGUGGGGGAUGGGCUCGCGGCCUAUCAGCUUGUUGGUGGGGUGAUGGCCUACCAAGGCGGUGACGGGUAGCCGGCCUGAGAGGGUGGACGGUCACACUGGGACUGAGACACGGCCCAGACUCCUACGGGAGGCAGCAGUGGGGAAUAUUGCACAAUGGGCGCAAGCCUGAUGCAGCGACGCCGCGUGAGGGAUGGAGGCCUUCGGGUUGUAAACCUCUUUCGCCAGUGAAGCAGGCCUGCUACUUGUGGGUGGGUUGACGGUAGCUGGAGAAGAAGCGCCGGCUAACUACGUG